GACGAACGCUGGCGGCGUGCUUAACACAUGCAAGUCGAACGGAAAGGCCCUGCUUGCAGGGUACUCGAGUGGCGAACGGGUGAGUAACACGUGGGUGAUCUGCCCUGCACUUCGGGAUAAGCCUGGGAAGCUGGGUCUAAUACCGGAUAGGAGCCAUUUUUAGUGUGAUGGUUGGAAAGUUUUUUCGGUGUAGGAUGAGCUCGCGGCCUAUCAGCUUGUUGGUGGGGUAAUGGCCUACCAAGGCGGCGACGGGUAGCCGGCCUGAGAGGGUGGACGGCCACAUUGGGACUGAGAUACGGCCCAGACGCCGACGGGAGGCAGCAGGGGGGAAUAUUGCACAAUGGGCGCAAGCCGGAUGCAGCGACGCCGCGUGGGGGAUGACGGCCUUCGGGUUGUAAACUCCUUUCGCUAGGGACGAAGCUUUUUGUGACGGUACCUAGAGAAGAAGCACCGGCUAACUACGUG
RNAcentral lists this ribosomal RNA (465 nucleotides) under uncultured bacterium. Its description in RNAcentral is "partial 16S ribosomal RNA". It matches the Rfam family "Bacterial small subunit ribosomal RNA", at positions 28 to 507 of the family's 1533-position model. The record is from RNAcentral.